RNAcentral lists this ribosomal RNA (274 nucleotides) under uncultured bacterium. Its description in RNAcentral is "partial 16S ribosomal RNA". It matches the Rfam family "Bacterial small subunit ribosomal RNA", at positions 523 to 796 of the family's 1533-position model. The record is from RNAcentral.
AUACAGAGGGUGCAAGCGUUAAUCGGAUUUACUGGGCGUAAAGCGCGCGUAGGCGGCUAAUUAAGUCAAAUGUGAAAUCCCCGAGCUUAACUUGGGAAUUGCAUUCGAUACUGGUUAGCUUGAGUGUGGGAGAGGAUGGUAGAAUUCCAGGUGUAGCGGUGAAAUGCGUAGAGAUCUGGAGGAAUACCGAUGGCGAAGGCAGCCAUCUGGCCUAACACUGACGCUGAGGUGCGAAAGCAUGGGGAGCAAACAGGAUUAGAAACCCCAGUAGUCC